RNAcentral lists this long non-coding RNA (378 nucleotides) under Setaria viridis. Its description in RNAcentral is "long non-coding RNA (SVIR_LNC001066)". Lineage: Eukaryota; Viridiplantae; Streptophyta; Magnoliopsida; Poales; Poaceae. The record is from RNAcentral.
GAGGAUAUAAAGCUAGCGAAUGGUGCGAAAGGAGGCGGUAACCCUAGACUUUCCCACGUGUGCGUGCAUGCAUCGUGUGAGCCAAUUUUUAUGGCCCCCGCGCGCUCGCUAUCGUCCCGCGCGAGCCAGGCCGCCAAGAAACGGAUUUCAUUUUUGCUCCACCGGACCUUUUGCAUGCGUUGGGCCAGGCCUAGCACUGAGUGCAGGCAACCAAACUCCCCGAAACUUGCAUCCCGCAGGCCAGGCUGGGCCAAAUGCAACGAACCAAACGCGCCAAACAACCCUACAUCCAGCAUGCUUGUUUUCUCCCAUGGGAAGAGCAGCCUCGUGCUUCUAAUUUUUAGAGCUGCAAAAGACUAGCUCACUACUUAAUUUGAU